GAUGAACGCUGGCGGCGUGCCUAACACAUGCAAGUCGAACGGAAAGGCCCUGCUCUUGUGGGGUGCACGUGUGGCGAACGGGUGAGUAACACGCGAGUAUACUCCCCCUGACAUAGGGAUAACAUCUGGAAAAUCGGGCGCAUACCGCGUAGGAGCUACUGCAGCACGGUGGGGGUUGGUAAGAUUCGGCGGUUGGGGAUGGUAUCGAGGCUUAUCCGCUUCAUGGUGAGGUAGUGGCUUACCAAGGCUUUGACGGGUAGCCGGCCUGGGAGGGUGACCGGCCACAUUGGGACUGAGGGACGGACCAGUCGCCAACGGGAGGCAACGGUGGGAAGUAUGACGGAGUAGGCGGGAGCCUGAUACGGCGACGCCGCGUGCGUGAUGACGGGCUUCGAGUUAUGAACCACUUUCGCCGGAGACAAACCGUGAUUGACGGUAAUGGAUAAAGAAGCACCGGCUAACUACGUG
This 468-nucleotide ribosomal RNA is filed under the name uncultured bacterium. Its description in RNAcentral is "partial 16S ribosomal RNA". It matches the Rfam family "Bacterial small subunit ribosomal RNA", at positions 28 to 507 of the family's 1533-position model. The record is from RNAcentral.